Molecule: ribosomal RNA, 263 nt
Filed under: uncultured bacterium
Lineage: Bacteria
Description: partial 16S ribosomal RNA
Rfam family: Bacterial small subunit ribosomal RNA
Source: RNAcentral
AUUAACGCUAGCGGCAGGCAUAAUACAUGCAAGUUGAACGGCAGCACAGGUAGCAAUACUGGGUGGCGAGUGGCGCACGGGUGCGUAACACGUAUGCAACCUACCCUAUACAGGCGAAUAACCUUUAGAAAUGAGGGCUAAUACGCCGUAGUAUUACAGAUGGGCAUCUAUUUGUAAUUAAAGAUUUAUCGGUAUAGGGUGGGCAUGCGUCCCAUUAGUUAGUUGGUAAGGUAACGGCUUACCAAGACGAUGAUGGGUAGGGG